Molecule: non-coding RNA, 425 nt
Organism: Cinara cedri
Lineage: Eukaryota; Metazoa; Arthropoda; Insecta; Hemiptera; Aphididae
Source: the annotation of a GenBank genome assembly
CUAAUAUUAUGUAAGUAUAAUAACUUGAACUAAAAUUAAGGAUAAUUUCUAACCAUGUUUACACUUUGUAUAACUCAUAAAUACAUUUUGUAAUUAUCAAUUAUCUGUGUGAUUAUAAAUCGCUAAUCUUCUAACAAAUGAUCAUAUAAAACUGAGUAGAUAAUUAAUAAAUUACUUUCAAUAAGACAAAUUAAUAAAAUAAUUAUGGCCUGUGAAUGAGUAAAACAAGUUGCCUACUUUAAUUUUUGUUCUCUUCUUAUAUUACUGAAUUGGCACCAGUGAAGUGGUACUAAUCAGUACCUAAUCAAUGAUAUCUCUCUAAUUAAGUUUUUACUGAUUUCAUUUGUAAGAGAUAAAAAUAAAAAAGAUCACCAUAACACUGAAAUACACAAAUAUUACAAGAAUAGAAAAUGGUUAAUUAUUCA